Molecule: ribosomal RNA, 692 nt
Filed under: Gymnocladus dioicus (Kentucky coffee tree)
Lineage: Eukaryota; Viridiplantae; Streptophyta; Magnoliopsida; Fabales; Fabaceae
Description: eukaryotic LSU rRNA
Rfam family: 5.8S ribosomal RNA (bases 274-429)
Source: RNAcentral
UUUCCGUAGGUGAACCUGCGGAAGGAUCAUUGUCGAUGCCUAUCAAACUGGACGACCCGCGAAUCGGUUAAGACCACCGGGGAGGCGGAGGGCGUGCGUCGCCCCGAGCCCCCCCGCCCGGGGACGCUUGCAGUCUUGCGCUGCUUGUGCUCGCCUGGAAAAAUAACAAACCUCGGCGCCGGACGCGUCAAGGAACUCGAACGAACUAGCGUGCUCCCGGCGGCCCGGAGACGGCCCCCGCCCGGAGAGCGUCGCGACGAUUGUAUCCAAAACGACUCUCGGCAACGGAUAUCUCGGCUCUCGCAUCGAUGAAGAACGUAGCGAAAUGCGAUACUUGGUGUGAAUUGCAGAAUCCCGUGAACCAUCGAGUCUUUGAACGCAAGUUGCGCCCGAAGCCACUAGGCCGAGGGCACGUCUGCCUGGGUGUCACACAACGUUGCCCCCACUCCACCGCCUCUCAGGGGGCGUGUCGGGCGGGGCGGAUGCUGGCCUCCCGUGAGCUCCUUGCCUCGCGGAUGGCCGAAAGACGAGUCUGCGGUGUUGGCCGCCGCGACGGACGGUGGAUGAGUGAACCUCGAGACCGGUCGCGCGUGCGUCUUCCCGUCAAGCAGGCUGCGAGACCCUGCCGCGUCGCUCGUUGCGAGCGCUUCCGACGCGACCCCAGGUCAGGCGGGGCUACCCGCUGAGUUUAA